This 219-nucleotide ribosomal RNA is filed under the name uncultured bacterium. RNAcentral's name for it is "partial 16S ribosomal RNA". It matches the Rfam family "Bacterial small subunit ribosomal RNA", at positions 1282 to 1500 of the family's 1533-position model. The record is from RNAcentral.
CGGUACUCAGUUCGGAUUGAAGGCUGAAAUUCGCCUUCAUGAAGCUGGAAUUGCUAGUAAUGGCAGGUCAGCAUACUGCCGUGAAUACGUUCCCGGGCCUUGUACACACCGCCCGUCACACCAUGAGAGUUGGGAAUACCCGAAGCCUGUGAGCUAACUGUAAGGAGGCAGCAGUCGAAGGUAGAAUCAAUGAUUGGGGUGAAGUCGUAACAAGGUAAC